This 253-nucleotide ribosomal RNA is filed under the name uncultured bacterium. RNAcentral describes it as "partial 16S ribosomal RNA". It matches the Rfam family "Bacterial small subunit ribosomal RNA", at positions 524 to 776 of the family's 1533-position model. The record is from RNAcentral.
GACGUAGGGCGCGAGCGUUAAUCGGAUUUACUGGGCGUAAAGGGCGCGUAGGUGGUCAAGCAAGUAAGAUGUGAAAGCCCUGGGCUUAACCUGGGAAGUGCAUCUUAAACUGCUUAACUUGAGUAUGGUAGAGGGUAGUGGAAUUUCCGGUGUAGCGGUGAAAUGCGUAGAGAUCGGAAGGAACGCCAGUGGUGAAGACGACUACCUGGACCAAUACUGACACUGAGGCGCGAAAGCGUGGGGAUCAAACAGG